UACGUAGGGGGCAAGCGUUAUCCGGAUUUACUGGGUGUAAAGGGAGCGUAGGCGGCUAUGCAAGUCAGAUGUGAAAGCCCGGGGCUCAACCCCGGGACUGCAUUUGAAACUGCGUAGCUAGAGUGCAGGAGAGGUAAGUGGAAUUCCUAGUGUAGCGGUGAAAUGCGUAGAUAUUAGGAGGAACACCAGUGGCGAAGGCGACUUACUGGACUGAAACUGACGCUGAGGCUCGAAAGCGUGGGGAGCAAACAGG
RNAcentral lists this ribosomal RNA (253 nucleotides) under uncultured bacterium. RNAcentral describes it as "partial 16S ribosomal RNA". It matches the Rfam family "Bacterial small subunit ribosomal RNA", at positions 524 to 776 of the family's 1533-position model. The record is from RNAcentral.